GUUGUAGCUCAGUGGUAGAGCCCUCGCCUAGCACAUGUGAGUCACUGGGUUCAAUCCUCAGUACGACA
Molecule: transfer RNA, 68 nt
Filed under: Marmota monax (woodchuck)
Lineage: Eukaryota; Metazoa; Chordata; Mammalia; Rodentia; Sciuridae
Description: tRNA.Ala
Source: RNAcentral